RNAcentral lists this ribosomal RNA (437 nucleotides) under uncultured bacterium. Its description in RNAcentral is "bacterial SSU rRNA". It matches the Rfam family "Bacterial small subunit ribosomal RNA", at positions 29 to 507 of the family's 1533-position model. The record is from RNAcentral.
AAUGAACGCUGGCGGCAGGCCUAACACAUGCAAGUCGAACGGGUCCUUCGGGACGUAGUGGCGGACGGGUGGAGUAACGCGUGGGAACGUGCCCCUUCGGUACGGGAUAGCCCCGGGAAACCUGGGAGUAAUACCGUAUGUGGUCGAGAGACGAAAGAUUUAUCGCCAAGGGAUCGGCCCGCGUUGGAUUAGGUAGUUGGUGGGGUAAUGGCCUACCAAGCCGACGAUCCAUAGCUGGUUUGAGAGGAUGAUCAGCCACACUGGGACUGAGACACGGCCCAGACUCCUACGGGAGGCAGCAGUGGGGAAUCUUAGACAAUGGGGGAAACCCUGAUCUAGCCAUGCCGCGUGAUCGAUGAAGGCCUUAGGGUUGUAAAGAUCUUUCAGGUGGGAAGAUAAUGACUGUACCACCAGAAGAAGCCCCGGCUAACUCCGUG